AACCAUAGAAACCUGCGGAGUACCUGCGGAAGGAUCAUUACACAAUAAACAUAUGAAGGCUGCACCGCCAACAGGCGGCAAGGCUGGAGUAUUUUAUUACCCUUGUCUUUUGCGCACUUGUUGUUUCCUGGGCGGGUUCGCCCGCCUCCAGGACCACAUGAUAAACCUUUUUUAUGCAGUUGCAAUCAGCGUCAGUACAACAAAUGUAAAUCAUUUACAACUUUCAACAAUGGAUCUCAG
Molecule: unclassified non-coding RNA, 240 nt
Filed under: soil metagenome
Description: partial contains 5.8S ribosomal RNA, internal transcribed spacer 2, and large subunit ribosomal RNA
Source: RNAcentral